RNAcentral lists this long non-coding RNA (26009 nucleotides) under Citrus maxima (pomelo). RNAcentral's name for it is "long non-coding RNA (CMAX_LNC003279)". The record is from RNAcentral. Lineage: Eukaryota; Viridiplantae; Streptophyta; Magnoliopsida; Sapindales; Rutaceae.
AAAGAUCAUAUAUUGAAUUUAAUAAAGAUAAGUAGACGGACAAUAGUGCAUCCUUUUGGUUAAUCAAGCAAAGACUAACGACACAUGCAAGUGCCUUGACCAAAGACAUUAUUACAAUAGCAGAUUUAAUGUCAUUAAUUUUGAGAAUGACAUUGCGACAUAUACUAAUUUAUUGUUUAGACUUUUAAUUUGCAGAAACGGAGUAGAUCUUAAUUAACUUAAUCAGCUUAGUAAGGUUUCUGCCCAAUAUAAUUGCCCGGAGGAUCAUAGUUGCAAGUGACAAACCACCGGCCAUUGCAAUUAUGCAAAGUGCCAAAUAAUAAAAGUGUUUUUGUAUAGACUAUUUUUCUUUUAACUUAAUGCAAGAAUUAUUUUAUUGUUAUAAUUUUUUUCUUCAUAUUACUAUUUGAAAAGUAUUAUUUUUUGAAAAAUAUUAAUCGUAAUCAUUAUUGUAGCCAUCAUGUUGGAUGAGUGCUAAUGACGGUGAAUGAAAUGUAGAUCUUCUCUUGAACCGUGUGUUGAACAAUAAUAUGAAGUGUAAUUGUUAUUUUUAGAUACUAGUUUGUGGUUUUUUUAAAUACAUUUGUGUAUUUUAUACUUAAAUUUGAGAAUUUAUGUUGGAUUGAUGUUGAAAUUUUAAUUUUUCAUUUACAUUGGUUAAAUUUAAAAUUGAAUAUGUCAUGUGGAAUUUGAGGUUAUUAUUGUAAAUUUAUAUAUUGAAUAUUUUUUAUUUUAAAUGUAUAAACCCGUAAAAAAAUCCGCCGGAUACCAUUGCAGGUUUGGUAAUUGUCAAAACUCGCAGCAGCUGAAUUUUCUUAAAAAAAUUAAAACCCACUGCGGGUUGCGGGUGGGUUUAAUAAUUAAAAUUUUGUGCAGAUUUGAGUUUGAUAAUUUAAAUUUUGUGUGGAUUUGAAUUUAGUAAUGACAAACCCGCUGCAGGCGGUGCCAUCCCUACGUAUAGCGUGCCAAACGCAGUUUGUUUUAGCUGCUCGGCUGCAGCUUUUGUUGGCCUUUACCAUUGUAUUGGGCUGGGCUUGGCCCAUUCGGCAUGCUCAUUUUCGAAAGUUUUUGUUCCUCGCAUCACAUCAUAAAUUAUUAAAUACCAUAACAAAAGCCAGAUGAAAGAAAUUGCUAAAAUCAAUCCAACAUAAUUAUGUGUCGUGGAUAUUGGAGCAGAACAAUACUGCAUUUGGAUACGAUUCCAUUAAAGGUUUUAUUUUGAAAUAAAAAUAAAAAUUAAAAGAAAAAGAAAAAGAAAAAGAAAAAGAAAAAGAAAAAGAAGGAAAAUUAAGAAUGAAUUUUCUUUGUUCUAGUUGUGAAUAAAGUUAUAUAGAUAAUUGAUUAUUGUCUGAGGUGAAUCUGCUGCGUUUGGUAUUUGCAAAUUUAAAGUAGAUUUUGGAGCAGCUAGUUAAUUAACUUGUGUUUUGUACAAGAUGCGCCUAGUUUAUUUUGUAAUUGCAUAUAAUUUAUCAGUGAUCUGUUAAAAAUGGGUGGGUAAAGUUAAAAGCAUUCUUGUUGAGAUCCAAGUCAACUUAACUGUUAAUAUUUUUUUCCAUUUAUAAGAUGAGGAUGCCAUCCUAGGAAUGAUUUGGUGUGUCGCGCAAUAGAUGAAUUAAUUUGGCGUGGACCAGUUAAUUAGGAUCAUUUUAUUUGUAAUCUGGAUAUUAUUUUAUAUUCUUAAGAAUAAAUUGAGGCGCAAAAAAUUUCAAAAGAACAUGUUAACAAUUUUGGUACAAUGUAAGCAUGAUUAAAGUUACACGCCAUCAAUAUUUUGACCAACGUUAGGUUUGUUAAUCGCCAACGUAACGUCAAAUGUGGCCCCAAAUGUCGUUAACAUGAAAAGAGGAAAUCGAAAAUUUAUCUACUGUAGAUCCGUGAAAUGCUGCGUCUCAAUCCCUUUGGCUAUAUAUACAUUCAUGAUUCAUAUUAUUUAUUAUUCUAGUCUUUUCCUAUAUAUAAAGAGAUGAUAAAUAGACCAAAUUCAUUGUUAGUAGAACAAUCGGCCGAUCCUGUCAAUUUAAAGGGAAUCUAGGAGUAUUGAGUAUAUAUCCUGCGAAAUUGGAAUGUAAUAUAUAUUAUCUAACAAGUUAAAUUAAUGAUAAAUUCUCCCAAUUAUAUUUUUCUGAGUAACCCUUUUAUAGUUUUUACCAAAUCCAGUAACCUUUUAAGGGCAAAACCAUAAACAAAAAAGAGUGGACGUUUUGCUAUUUAUAUUUGUAUUUUUUAUAAAAUAUCAUUAUCGCUACAUCUGGUAGCAUUGUCAUAUGUUAUAAUUAUUUUUUAAGUUAAGAAUACCCAAAAUCUAAUCACAAGAAAACUGUUCUUUCUCGUGUUAACUCUUAUUGACAAUAGAAUAAGGUAUUUAUAAAAGCCAUGCAGAAUCAACAAAUUCUGACGACGACAUUGAUUUUGGCUCACUCUGGUAGCGGCAAUUUGUACAGAGUCACACAAAAACAUACGCAAUCCUUAUAUUAGGCAGGUGAAUCGUUAUAUUUAUCCUAUAAUUACUUACAAAAUCAAUUAGUCUCUUCUUUCCAGUUGUAGAUAAUAAAAUUAAAUAACUUACUUGUAAUAAUAAUAAAAGCUAUCUCGCACAAUCAUAGCCUUAAAUUUUGUCAAGCUUUUCUCUUUAUAUAUGCCCUCAACGAUAUUACGAACUCAAUCAAGAAAGUUCACAUAGCGUAGUGAAGUUAAAAUGUUGCUCAACAAAUUCAUUUUAGCCAUCUUCUUCAUUUCUCUAACCCUACCUCACAUCAUCCACGCACAAAGCUCCCACCAAGACAUCGUUAAUGCACACAAUGCAGCUCGUGCGGAGGUCGGCGUCGAUCCGAUGACUUGGAAUGACACCGUUGCAGCCUAUGCACAAGACUAUGCCAACCAAAGAAUGGGUGACUGUAACUUGGAACAUUCAAUGGGGCCUUAUGGAGAGAACCUGGCUGAGGGUUAUGGGAAACUUGAUGGAGUUGAUGCCGUAAAAUUUUGGCUUACUGAGAAGCCUAACUAUGAUCAUGCUUCAAAUUCGUGUGUUGGUGAUGAGUGUUUGCAUUACACUCAAAUCGUUUGGCGCAAAUCUGUGAGUGUUGGCUGUGGUAGAGUCAAGUGCAAAAAUGAUUGGUGGUUUGUUAUUUGUAAUUAUUAUCCUCCGGGGAAUAUCGAAGGUGAAAGACCUUAUUGAAUAAUUUUACUUAGUAGUGCAAUGAAAAAUUACUGUUGUUGGGUUUGUUCGAUUUAAGAUGAAAAAGAAUUUGAAUGUGUUGUUGUGGCCUUAUCACUCAAAAGUUUAAAUUUAAAAUUUUGUAAGUUAAUAGAUUUUGUGACUGAACUUGUAAAAGCUUAAAAACGAUGUUAAUAGAUUUUGUGACUCAACUUUUAAAAACUCAACAAGAAAAAUUGGCAAUCUCCUGAUUUAAAAUUACUCAUAACUAAACUAUUUAUUCUAAUUGAUGUAAAUUUCUAAUGAGAUGUGAUCAGAUUUGCUAUUUAUUAUUUUAAAAUUUCCCUCAGGCCAUAAACAGUUUAACAAAAUAUGAAAAUUUGAGUAAUUCUUCACUCUUACGUUUUUGUUUCUAGAGUAUAUUUCAGAAUUGAACUUUUCAACACCUAAGAUGGCUCCAUUUAUUGGGGUAUCCUCACAUUUUCAACGCAAUGAAAGUGCACAUUUACUAAUAACGCAGCCAGCACCCGGCAGCCUAUCUAUCUUCUAACAAACAAAUUUUCAUCAAAAAUUUGGUAUAUAUCGGUUGCAAAAUCUUUGGACUCAUCAAUAACAAAUUAAUAUGACCAAUUCUUUCGAUAAAAAAUUAAAAAUUAAUUAAUCAGACAAAUCUAAACGGUAUAAGAACAACACUGUCGUCCAAGUUCAAAAUUUCCAACAUGCGAUUUUUAUUUUUUUAACAAAGCAUUAUUAGAAAUUAAACUUAAUUACACCCUACCCUUUUUCAAUAUGUGAUUUUUUUUUUAAUUUUUAUAAAGCAUUAUUAAAAUUAAACUUACUCCCUACCCUAGUUAUAUAAACAGGAUUCGAACUUCAAACUUUUUGUACCACUCAAAAAAGUGACAAGCGACAGCCCAUAAUUUUGUGACUUUCAGUGACUAUUUGGUUGAUUAAAUAAAUAAAUGAUCAUUUUUCCUCUAACUUUCUUAAGAACUAAUUACUAAAUGUGAAACGUAAAAUAAUGGAGAAAGACAAAACUACAAACUUUAUUUUACCGAAGGUACGGGCGGAUAAAAUCACAUUUGUUAUAACAGCAAUACUUUAUUUGUAAGCAAAAUUCAGGCGGAUUAAACGGGAAUCCAAAUGCACUUUCAUCCUGAUAUAUUAUGAAAUCAAAUUUUGAUAUAUGUUACUCUAUUCACACUUACGAUAAGUAAUUCAUCACAGGGAGUGUUCAAAACUUCAAAUAAUAAUAAUAAUAAUAAAAUUAUUAAUUUGUGAGGACUGAUUUAAUAAAGAGUAAUGAUAGACAUCCUAAUUUUUUUUUUAUCUCAAAUGAUAUGUUAUUCAUUAAUUCGUUGGUAAUCUUUUAUAAGAUUUAAGUAAAUUAAUUGUAUUAUGCUCAUCAAUCAAUUGAUGAAUAAAAAAAAUUUAAGAUAUGCAGCCCUACUCUUUAAUAAAUUAGGAUACGGAAUUGAGCUGCUUUUUUCCCUUUUUUUUUUGUUGAACACUUAUAUGGAUAGUUCAAGAUUCGUUUUUCAAUUCUCUUGUCUUAUAACCGUUAAUGGUACUCAAUAAAAAAAUCAAAUUAGCACUUAAUCUUUGUCCUUGAUUAACAUAUCCAAAUUCACUAAAGCAAUAGCCUCUCUCUAGGUUCAAAAUUUUACGGUCGAUGGAAAAUGGAUGGCGUCAAUUUUGAUUUUGACCAACUCCUAGUUCUUUUAACCAUGGAUAAUAAUAGUCAAUUCUUCAUCUUUAUCAAAACAAAGUUUUUAGUUAGUCAAAUUGGACAUCGACAUCGUCUAUUUACUUUUCUACUUGAAAUCCUGAAUUUAUGCUCAAUUUGUCCCAUAAUUAGCGCUACACAUUAAUUGACAAUAUUCCAACUUUCUAGAUGAAUAUAUUUUCAUUGAAUAAAUAUAAAUCCCCUAGUGACGACUUCGUCUACAGAAAUUAAGUUUUUCACAUAUGUAAUCAUGGAAAUAAUUUUUCUUAUGGAGAUGUGGGUAGGGGUUCGAAUCCCCAUAUAUUUUUGGGGAAAAAAAAAUCAUAUUUCAGUUAUUCAUUUGGGAUAGUUUCAGCAUUUUGAGCUAGACAUCCAUCUUGCACCAUAACAAAACUAUUUAAACAAGGUCUUAAUUGUGAUGUAAAAAUAAUAAAUUGUAAUAUGAUAUACAUUAAAAUAAAAUACAGGUGAUCCAUUGUUACUAAUGAAUUCUAAGUCAACUUUAAAUAAGGCCAUUUUUGCAUCGUACAUAUGAGAAACAUGGUCAAAGGAAUUGUUAAUUUGUAAUAAUUAAACACCGCAAUUACUGUUGAAUGUGGCAUGAAUCAUGGAAGGGAGAAGGAGACUGGGAUCAUGAAUCUUUGUAUUUGGUUUUCAAAAAGAGACAGUAGGUAUGAAACAGGAAUAAUGUGAUACAAAUCCUGACAUGAAAAGUAAAAAAGAGUUAAAUUGUUUCUUUCUUUUUUUUUGAAAAGAAAAAGAGUUAAAUUGUUAAUAAUGGAUAUGUUCAGGCCUUGUCGUUCAAAGGAAGGGAAGAAAGUCUUGGAUGAAAAGGAUGUGCCACUUUAUUCAUUUAAACUAUUUUCUUUUGAUAUAAAUUUGCUAAUUGUGGCUAUAAUUAUAGUAAUUGAGAAAGAAUAUUUAAAAUAUAUGACAUCGUUUUUAUUGUGUCAGCAUAUUUUGCAAUAUAUUAGUCUCAGGAAAUUAAAACAAAUAAAGAUGAAUUAAGAGAACUUGUGUAUAUUAUUAUUUCAAAUAACAUCUAAUGGGUCAUUGGUUGUCCUUCUUUUAAUUAGUAUUUAAUAGAAAAGUUUUCUAUCGUGGUAGCCUAUCAUAUAGAAUUUGGCAGUAGAAUCAAAAAAUUGUUUGAAAUAAAAAUCUUCUUGAAUAAUUAUGAUCCUCUGAGAUUUUAUGAGCCUUUUAAAACUCUUAUGCCAUGUAAAGGUAUAUGUUUUCAUAUUUUAUUUUUCUUAUACAUAUUAUCUUAACCAUUGAGUGGAUCCAUGACCUUAAGUUUCGAAAUUAAUGGAUCAAGGAAAAGUAGUUAAACAAUUUAAUGAGGAGGAUUAAAUAUUAUGUUAUCUUAAGAAACCAAAUUCUAAUGAUUAAUUCUUUUCCCAUUUCAUGUCGUUAGCUAUAGUAAUCUAUAAGUCACGACUUCCUAACAAUGAAAUAAAACGUGGAAAUUGAUUUUGAUUGGAUCAGAAGAGUAAGCUACAAAUCAACUGUAUCUUAUUAGAAAUUGAGCUGAAGGUGACGACAAUAGUGUAAUUUUCUUUUAUUUGUAAUAGAUUUUUUUCAUUCUCAAGUUCCCUAAACCACUACGCAAUCUUGUUUUUGAACAUUCUUCUUAAUUUGCCUAAUUUUUUUUCCAACCCUUAUCUCUAUAAAUACCAGUCCUACCAUCCCAUUUUUUCAUCAAUCAUCUUGCAAAAUCUUUAAUCACAAAAUUUGCAAAACAAAAAUACAAAUGGGGUUGUCCAAGAAUUCAUCACUAGCUCUUUUUUGUAUCUUGGGGUUAGCCCUAAUUCUCUCUUCCCAUGCACAAGACUCACGCCAAGACUAUGUCAAUGCUCACAACGCAGCUAGGGCACAGGUUGGUGUUGGCCCUGUGACAUGGGACGACAGAGUAGCUUCCUAUGCACAAAACUAUGCCAAUCAACGUAAAGGCGACUGCAAUCUUGUGCAUUCGCGUGGACCGUAUGGCGAGAACCUUGCAUGGAGCAGUGCUGGUCUUUCCGGCACAGAUGCUGUGAAACUGUGGGUGAAUGAGAAAGCUGAUUAUGACUACAAUUCUAAUACUUGUGCUGCAGGCAAGGUGUGUGGGCACUAUACUCAGGUGGUUUGGCGCAAAUCGGUUCGCAUUGGGUGUGCCAAGGUAACGUGCAACAAUAAUAAAGGAACUUUCAUAGGAUGCAACUAUGACCCCCCAGGCAACUUUGUUGGGGAGAAACCUUACUGAAUAUUAUAGAUAAAAAUAAAGCUUUGUAUGAUUAAGUGGCUUGCAACAAAUGCAUGGAUGAAUAAGGUUUCAAUUUGAUGGUUAUUAACUGACGAAUUUGAAUAACCAAAAAUAAAUGACAAUGAUUAAAUUUUAUGUUAAUUUUUGGAUACUUCCUAGGAUAUCACAUUUGAUAUAAUUUCCUUAUUUCAGCAUUUUCUUAAUUUUUGUUGGAUCUUUAAUUAGAUCAAAUGUUGUCUUGAAAAAACUUUUGUCAUUGAGGUGCUGUAAUUUUAAACUACAGUUGCUAUAGAAAAAAAUAUAUAACUAUAAAAUAAAAGAUAAUAGUGUGUACUAAAUACAAUUUUUAAAUGAUAAUUUUGACAAAAUUAUCAAUGAUAUAAUAUAUUUUUCAUCAUACAAGUGUAAAAUCAAACUAAUAUAACCAAACACUUUAAUACUGUAGCUUUUAAGCUACAAUUGUUCAAUCUCAAUCCCAAACAGGGACUAAGUCUUGAAUUAUUAAAUAAUAAUGGUAUAUACCACAUCUGGGGCUUUAGUGAUAUUUAGCAGGGUGAGACUUCUUUGAAAUUUUAUCACUAGAGCUACACUUUGGCACUUAUUAAGUAUAGUCGGUAUGCUAUUGUAAAUAAGUUUUGGAUAACUCUUAUUUCAUGAGCUAACUUUUGAGUAUGAGUUAGCCUGAUGAACUUUAAAUGGUAUUAGAGCCAACUCAUAAUACACAAUUAGGGUCUAUACUACCUUUCCAUGAGACUAUAGAAAAGAAGAAAAAAAUAUUAGCUUGCAUGUGACAAGAAAUAUUUUGUAAGCUAAGUAUAUUCAUUUGGAGUAAGUAACCCUCUACUUAUGAGAUAAUUUUUAGUUAUGAGUUUGAACCAUGAAUUUCUACACUAUAUAUUAGACUGAUAUGGUGAUUUUGGUCGAGUUAGCUUGCUAGGACGUUUUAAAUGAUAUAUUUGAACAAAGGGUAACUGGUUUAUUCUAUGAAAAUUAAAAAUUAUUAGUGAAUUUCGUGUUUCAAAAGUUACUAAUUUUUGAAACACCAUGUGGAGAAAGAUAUAUAUCGUCACCUUUGCCUAACUUGUAUAUAUAAAAGACUAUAUUCUAUUGGUUGCCUAAUUUUAUUGAUAUUAAUAACUUAUAUUUCCUUCCAAGCAAGUCUAAGUCAUGAAUUGAAAAAAAAAAAAAAAAAGUUUUGCGGGUCAACUAUUCUCAUAUCAAUCGUCAAUAUUUAUACAUCAAAUCCUAAAUUUUUGUUUAGUCUGCCCCAUAGUUAACGGUUAGCAACAGUGGCCCAAUACAAUCAGCAAACCUUACUAGAUGCAUGCAUCAUACAAUAUUUUUAUAUAUACUGAAAUAACAAUAUUAAUAUUGUACUUACAUAAUUGUGAUAUUUAGUUUAUAUCAUAAAUGCUAUGUCACAAAUAGUAAUUAUCAUGUGUUAUGUAUUGGUUUUGAAUUUAUUAUUUAUCAUUAGUAUUUUAGUUUCGCAAUUACUUCUCACUUAUUGAUAGAGAGAUAUUUCUACAUUAGUUAAUAAAUAGUUCUCAGGCUAAAUAUAUAAGUUUAGGACAAUUCUCAAAUUUUAAACUAAUUUUUUUAUAUGAGUUAGCUUCAAGAACUUUUAUGUAACAAUAUGAAAAGCAAACUCACUAUUAGAACCAGUCAAAAAGACCAAUCUACAAAUGACAAAGGGUGUUAAAGGGAUAGUCACAAAUCCAGCAAAGCAACACUUAACCUUGCUCGAUGUCAAACAAUUUGAGAUACAAGGUAUGUUAAGUUUAUUUUACCGAAGUUACUCCGAAAAUAAUCGUUCAUCUUUCCUUGCUCCACGUUACGAGUUUCGUUUUCAAUCUUUCAGCGCAAUAAAAAAUAUUCGGAUCUUGGAAACUAAAUACGCAGAAGACGACGAAGACUAAGACUUUCGAGAGUUGCCCAGAUGGACUAUUAAUCAAAAUUCGCGUACAGAUCACGAAACACGAUCUGGGGCAAAGAUUUUAAUACAUAAACUGCUGUUUUUGCGUGUAAUGUAGGCCAUAUGUCGUGAAAAAUCAUACCGUGUGUAACAUGGCAUGUCAUGAAAAGUACGAUGAUUUAUUAAUUCCUUGGAACUGAACAAACUGAAUAUUAGCUAGGUUUAUGUUCAAGACUUCAUCUGCACAAUUUUGUAAUGACGUUUGUAGGAAAGAAUAUAAUGCCAUCAUAGCACGGUGUGAAUUUGGGCUUUAAUUUAAGCGUUGUGAUUGUUCAAGGAGCAGUAAUAUUAAGACAGACAAAUUUAGUAGAACAUUGAUAGAAAUAGUGAUAAAUAUUUCUCAAUUUACUAACUUAAUUAUAAAAUAAAAUAAAUAAAUGCCGGUUUAUUAUUGUUUUUAUACGCGCUCUGUCAAUGUUCUACUUUAACAUUUUUCUUGUCAAUGCCUACAAAAAAAGUAGGGGAAAAAAAGAAUGCUUUGAUGUUGCAAUUCCAAUGUAACUCUUAAUAUCAGAAGCUGGAUCAUUUUUAAAAGUCAUUUUACUGACUUGACUCGACUUCAUGGUUUUCCAAUUUAUAAAUUGAUGAUAACUACAAUUAUUAUCAUUAUUAUUAUUAUUAUUGUUUUUACGGAUUACAAUCAAAGUCAUUGAUAUAUAAAAUAAAAUAUCUAUUAGAUCAGUGAUCACUUUUAUUAUAUCACAGCCAAAAGUUUCAACUUAUAUUAAGACCCUUUAAAACUGCAACACUAAAAAUAUUUAGUAAAUAUUAACUGCUGUAACUUGAAAGUUGUCUUAAUAAUUUUGUCAUAGAACGAACCUUUUGGCGGCAUGUUAUGGUAGGUAAGCCAUGUUUGCAGUGGUAUUGUAUGUAUUAGUUUAUGAACAUAUUGUGUAAAAUUAGGUGUCAUCGUUCAAUGACUUUUUUUUAAUUAAACUUUAAAGUUUGAUGUGAUACUGCUCUGUUUACCUCUUCUCCUAUGGGGGUAUCAGCCGCAUGGGAUAUCAUGGAUAUGUACAACCUAUGAAUUAUUCAACAUGACAUACAUUUUUUGUUUUAAUCUUUGUUGUUACAUGAUUUGAUUCACAGUGUAUGGGAGAGCAAAAACUUUUUGAUGUUUGUGUUGCCUUUAAUAUAGACCGGUACUCCUGUUCAAAGCAGGUGGUUAGCUAAUGCUAAUGGUGGUGAGUUAGAAGCUCUUGGAUAUAAGGAGGGAUACAGAGUUGAUGUUGAUGUUCCUGACAGCACAUGGGCAAAGGCUGCAAGCUUCCACGAUAUUCUAAUAUUUAACACAGGACACUGGUAAAUUUCUUUUCUUUAUGCUACUGUUUACACUUUCAAAUUCCUAUAGAUUGGUAUUCAAUUGAUGUUUCGCUAAAUAGUGGGAUCAAAUGCAUGACUAUCAUGAUUGACACCUUUUUGAUAUCUGUUUUUUCAAGUUCUCUGGCAGCAUUUGGAAUGUUUCUGUGGCAAAUAGUGAAAUGUAAUCUAUACUUCCUCGACCACAUUAAACAGUUUCCCAUUAAUGCCCAUUUCAUGUGUGUUAUUGUUGUUUUUGCUCUUAUUAUGACCGUGCAACAUAUUUUGCUUAUCCAUUGUACUUGGAAUUUUGGUUUUUUUACAUAGGUGGUGGGCUCCUGCAAAAUUUGACCCUGUGAAGUCACCUAUGCUAUUCUUUGAGAAGGAUAAGCCUGUCAUCCCUCCUGUACAGCCCAAUGUUGGUUUGGAUAUGGUCUUAAAACACAUGGUAGUACACUGGAUGUAUUUAUUUACAUAGUAGUUGCUCCUCAGAAAAUCAUAAGCUUACGUUGUGAAUGCAUGCAAUCUUCUGAUACCAGAUAUUGUCAGGGUUGGAUAGGCCAAGUAACUUAUUGCUUUAGUUACAGACUAAUGUUAACCUAAUGUUGCUGAAGUCUACAAGAAGCCAUGAGUGUCCUUUUUCACUCUGCACACAUCAUCACCGUGUUCAUAAAUUGGAGUUAUGAGUAUAACCUUGGUUAGAUGUGUAUAUUUUCUCAUAUGAUACGUAUAAUAUGGUGACAGAUACAAUAUGUUGAGAAAACUGCACGUCCAGGUUCGAUCAAACUCUUUCGUACACAGUCGCCAAGGCAUUUUGAAGGAGGUGAUUGGGACCAAGGAGGUUCAUGUCAACGGCUACAGCCUUUAUUGCCUGAGCAAGUGAGUCGCGUUUAACAGCUUUUAAGUUAGAUUGCGUAUGAUAAUUAGUUAAAUUAUUUGCAUGCAUACAUACAAUUGAAUCACUACGAACAUCUGUCUCUUUUACACGACUCUGUUUUAUUAAACUUUUGUUACACGGUGUCAGAAAUGAUUUAAGAGAUUUUAUUUCAUUCUGUUUCAGGUUAAAGAACUUUUCUCAGUACAAAAUAAUGGAACAAAUGUAGAAGCGCGCCUGGUGAAUCAGCACCUGUACAAGGCCCUUAAGGGCUCGGAUUUCCAAAUUUUGGACGUUACCCACAUGAGUGAGUUCAGAGCCGAUGCACAUCCCUCUACAGCCGGCGGUAAGAAACACGAUGAUUGCAUGCACUGGUGCUUACCAGGAAUUACAGAUACUUAGAAUGAUUUGUUUGCAACUCUUCUGAACAAUGUUAAGGUUAGAACCUGAUGUACGCAUUAUUUAUAGUCUGAUUAUAUUCUUUUUGGUUAUUCCGAAGUUCUUUCUCACAUACAGAAAAAUAAUUAGAAAAAUAAAAGGAAAUAAAAUGCUGCUACAAUGUCUAAAAAUUACACACUGUAACAUUGAUCUAAAUAAGGAUUAGUUUAUCGAAACUUGUAGAUAUUAAUUUAGCAGUGUCAUUUAUUGUAUAAUACAGCAAAAGUGGUGUAAAGAAACUCAAUCAAGCUCGACAGUCCAUCCCAUCUUGUCCUCAAUGCGGCCAGUUUGGAUUCCUGUUAGCAUUUCAUAUAGCUUUUGCCCCACAGUCCCUGCUCCUCUUUUGUACGCAAUCCUGCAUAAUUCACCUUAGAAAAUAAAUACUGUUGUAAAACCUUAAUUUAAACUAUGAUAAUAUGUAAUUAGCAUGCAAUAUUACAUACCUUGUAUCCUGAUAAGUUAUGCUGUUAACAGAAUUAACCCCCACUGCAGUUCCUGUACAGAAAACUUCUUCGGCAUCAAACAAUUCCCCCACCGGUAUGGCACGUUCUUUAACCUAAUAAUAGUAUGGUUAGUGUUGAUGCAGAAAUCCGAACCAGUUGGUUAGAGACUCAAUAUCAGAUCCCUGCAUCAACAUUAAAUUUGUUUGGUGGGAAGCUGCUGGUUGAUCUCCAAGAAUAUUCUCUAACUAUGAGCAGAACAUUCAUGAGCAUAUAAUCUUCAAGCUGACGAUCAAUAAGUACUUGAAAUUACAGAGAAUGGUCAGAGGUGCCGGAAUUUUUUCCCUCGUAAACCCUCCGAUGCUCAAGUCAGUUAUGGGGUUUACAGGAAAAACCAAAUAUGUCAUUUCUCAUAUGACUUAAUAAACAUUGCCUUAAAACCAAAAGCCUUUUGAAUAAUUUGCAGAAAAGUAAAGUAGAGUAUCCAGAAAGAAUUUCUCAGUGAGAUCCAGAGAAAAAGAACCCCCCUCGGCAUGGUUUUCUCGGGGUUUUUAUAAACACCCCACACCCACGACCUUAGAUCGUGACAAUAACCAUUAAUUGAUCAAAUUCGUGCUCUGAUUUUUCGGAGGAGCUUUGUGGUGGUUUAUUUUAACUGAGUCUUGAUUCCUGGUCAUCACCUGGUCGAGGUGAUCUCCUCAAGCUCAUAGCACCUGGUCGAGGUGAUCUGUUCAAGCUCAUACCACCUGGUCGAGGUGAUCUGCUCAAGCUCAUACCACAUGGUCAUCAGCUCAAGCUCAUACCACCUGGUCAAGGUGAUCUGCUCAACCUCAUAGUACCUGGCCGAGGUGGUCUGCUCAACCAUUUACUCACUUUCACUUGGAGGAGAUCAUGGUCGCUCUAUUUAAUUCCUCAAACAGUUAGUUGACAAAACCUUUUCGAAUAGUAUAAGAGGUUUUGAGAGCAAAUCUCGUUCACAUAAGUGAUUUAGUAAAUAAUAAUAAUAAUAAUAACAAAAAAAUGAGGAGAUACCUGGUAACCCAAAACAUGGGUGAUUUCGAUGAUACUUUUUCGAGUGAUUCCAGGCAGAAUAGUUCCACUCGUUGGUGGAGUUAAAAUUUCAUUUCCCUGAGCAAAUUAUUUCAAAACUAAGUUUUCUUUUUUAAAAAAAAAAUCAACAUAAAGUGAAUUUAUCCAGGUGAUAACCGAUAAAGACAAAGUUAUCUUACCUUCACAAGAAAAAUAUUAGUGGUAGAAACCUCCUCGAUGUAUUUUUCGGCAUUAAGGAACAAGACAUCGGUGAACCCUUUGGCCUUCGCUUCAGCAAUUGGUUUGUAAAUCUACGACGAGAAUACAUGGGAGGAUCUCAAUUUAAAUAGUGAUAGUGUUACUUAGUAAUUAAACAAAGAUUAUUUCCUGGAAACUGCAAAGUUGAAAUUUAUGCUCACUAUAGCAUAAUUGGUGACAGCCUUGACUCCUCCAGUUCCUCCAGGAAUAGCUCGACGAAAUUUUUCCUCCACAAUCAAAUUUAGUACACCCUGUUACAUAAUCCGAAAUGGCUUUCAAGUCCUUAUUCUUUAGAUUAUGUAAUCUAUUUUUUCUUUCUAUUUCUUUUCCUAAAGAAAAUAAUAAUCUAUCAAAGAUGAUCAGGCACCUUACCUUAUGAUAAUUGCCUACAGGAGAAGCAUAAGUUAUGAAGGUGUAUUCGGAGGCUGGUGCAACUCCUAGAACCGGUCCACUUCCCAUAAGCAAAGGCCUUAUAUACAUUGCUCCUUUCCCUGGUGGAGGCACCUAUAUAUAUUCAUCACAAUCCAUGCACAAACUUUUAAUCAGCAAAAUUUUAGACAGGUCACAGAAAAAUUAGAGUAAUAAUUAACUUAUACAUAAAACAUUUUUAUCAAAAUUAAAAUUACUUUACCCAUCGCUUGUUGGAGUGUACAGUUUGCUUUACUGCAUUCACAAAUUGUUCUACAGUUGGUGACUGCAUGCACAUUCUCUUUGCACCCACUUUCAUGCGCAUGGCAUUUUCUUCUGGCCGAAACAGUAGAAUACGCCCAUUUGCUGUCCUGUGUGCCUUCAAACCUUCGAACAAACCCUAAAUUCACUCACCGUCUAUUUUAAAUAAGAAUUCAUAGUUACUGAAUAUAAAGAAAUGUAUUUGUUUGCUAACCAAGAUUGUGUUAAAUGAUGGAUGCGAAUUAAUUAUUACCUGUCCAUAGUUUAAAAUUCCAGAUGAAGGGUUCACCUCUAUCUUUCCAAAUGGAGUGAGAGUUCCUUGUGAGAAGUGUUGGUCUUUAGAACAAUUCAUUAUGUACAUAUAAUCAGUUGGAAUUAGGCCAAAUCCAAGGACAUCCCAAUUGAUCUUUGCAUAUUCUCCAUUGACAUGGCUGCUGAAAACAAGCAAAAGAAUAGAAAUUUGUUUUCAUAUGCUAAUUAAAUUUGUUACUUUGAACCAUAAGUAUCUGAAUAUCUUCUCCUGAUCAAAGCUUUUAAAAGUCUUAUACAUUACAUACGUUGUUAUUAUUUAUGUAUGGUAAAGUAUCUUUCCUUUCACUACCAUUAUAUCCAUUGUGUUAACAACUAGCCAAUAGCUAAACUAUCUGUAAAGAGGUUGAAAAAAGCUGUUACAGAAUAAGAGUCCUUAGACCUCCCUCAAAGAUAGAAGUCUCCGAAACUAAUUAACAUUAAUAUUAAGUCAAAUCUAAUGGCAUGAAAAUGAGAAACGAAUAGUAAAUAAGAACAUAACUUAAGAGGAUGUUACUAAUAAUAUGCCUAUAAGAAAUUAAAGUCUUAGAGAAUGGGAAGGUCUGGCCAAUAAAAUAAUGCCAUGUACUUUAAUUUCUUUUUCUUUUCAUUUUAUAAUUGAAUAAAUAUUAAGUGUAGGUGUCAAAAAUUUUAAUAAACGAGGUACUGUGUCCGUUCCAUACUUCCAUUUAAGGAUUUCUUAACAAUUUCAUGAAGUGGUGGUGGUCUUGUUGCUGUAACUUAGAAUUUUUAAACUUUUAAAUGUGAGUGUAACGUAACUUCUGAAGGACGCUGAAACUUUAAAUGUGCUAAUUUUGACUUCUGAACGGCACUCAGAAACAUUUAGAAAGUCGGUGGGUGGGGCAGCUGACAAAAGUAAUCGUGAGGGUAAUAAAUAAUACAUGAAGAAGACAGAGCAGCCAUGAUUAAUUGCUACGAUAAACUUCUUUGUGUUAUUUAGUACCUAUUAACACUUGGUUCAUUGUAACCUUCCACUUCCGCUCCCGCCGUUCUACAAUAUUGAUCUCUUGUCUGUUUUAAAAAAAAAAAGAAAACUAAUGUUAAGCCCCUGAUUUAGGAAAAUAUCUAAUAACAUAAACACAAAUAUUUUCACCUUAAUACCCACUAAUACUAUUAAAAAAAACAAAAGAGAUAAACCACAGUAGUUGUAUUAAUUGCUAAUGUUAUUAUCCCAUUCAAGAUUGAGUAAAAAUGUUAAUCAAAAAGGGAGAUUGCUGCUUUUCAAGGGGAUAUUAUAAAACCUAUGGGUGUAAGUGGUAAAAUCUCCCAACUUGGAGGGUGGAGAUAAUUUUCCAAAUAAAACUAAAAGAGUUUCAAAAUAAAGUUUUAUGGUGUUUUUGAGAGCGAGGGAAUAACUUUUAAGGUGCAACUGUCGUGGAGUAAAAGAUAUAAUUAUGGAAUAGAAAUGAGAAAAAAGAGCUGAUAAGCUAACAAAACCCAGCUUUAAGGUGUUACGAAACACCUUGACGGCUGAGGUUUGGCAGCCCAACCACCACACGUCACUCCUAAACGCACUCUUAAUUAGUUUGGUAAACAUGACGUAGCUGGCCAAUUAAUCUUGCAUGUCAGUGAGCAUCAAUGGGAUUGUCUGCACCAGCUGCCAUAAAAUAUAUGAAAGGAAAAGAGAUAAAAAGUAAUGGAGUCUAGUAGCAGAAAUAAUCAAUUGGGAAGCGAAAAACAAUUUUGAUAUUGAACCCACAGAAAAAUUCUUUUGACAUUCUGUUCCUUCUUUAAAAUGAACAGAUAAGGAUGAAAACCAAAGUCGGAAAAUUUAUCUACAGGGUGAGAGAGAGGGGGGAAAAUAAAAUAAAAAGACAAAUGAUGAGAGCUGUUAUUCAUAAUCAUAUAUCUUAAUAUGAUGAAAAGGUUUUUUGUUUUUGUUUUAUUUUUGGUUUGACUGAAACUCAAACCUUGAGAUUUAUUAUAUAUAUAUAUAUAUAUAUAUAUAUAUGUAUGUAUGUAUGUAUGUUAUCAUUUGAGUAUUGAAAAAAGAAGUCUCAAAAAAAGAAAAAGGAUCAUGAAGUCGGAAAAACAAAUACAAAAAGAAGAUGGAUGAAUUUCCUGGAGAAAAUAAUUGCUUAUUACCAACAAUAUAUGUACCCAAAAAAGAGAUUAUAAUUCAUAUCUUGUGCCCUACUUCUUUCUCAAUAUUAGAGGGAUCAUGAAGAAGAGAUAUAAAUUUGAGAUUACUGACACACCUUAUACAGAAUCGAUCCUGCUAUUCUUGAUGGUAUGCUCCAUUUUCUGAAAUAAUCACUUACUUUUAACAUGUUUGUUCGUUUCCUGAGAAAAUUAGAGAGAGCAGAGUAUCAAAUCACAAAACACAAAACUCUGUCUAUAUGUGUAGAAGUUGCAUGCAAGCCGCUGGGUUCUGUGAGAACUUUGAAGGGUUGGUUUGUCAAAAUCAGAUGAGCAUUUUCAAAUAUAUAUUAAAGCAUUCACUCAUGCCAAACUAUUAGAAUGGCACUUCUAUUCAAGUUAAAAUUUGUUUUACCAUUUGAGUCUCUGAUAAGUUUUUAAUAACUUAUUUACUUUUGGUAUUAAAACAACAAGAGAGAAAAUAAUUAAUUUAUUUAUUAAGAAGUCCUAUUUACCUUUCAAUAAUGUAUUUCUUACGCUACAUUUUAAUACUAAAAAUGUAAUUAGAGUUUUAAAAUUUUUUUCAAAAACCCGAGUGAUACGAACAAUAUAUAUUAGGUACAAUAUGAAAAGCAAACUCACUAUUGGAACCAGUCAAAAAGACCAAUCUACAAAUGACAAAGGGUGUUAAAGGGAUAGUCACACAUCCAGCAAAGCAACACUUAACCUUGCUCGAUGUCAAACAAUUUGAGAUACAAAGUAUGUUAAGUUUAUUUUACAGAAGUUACUCCGAAAAUAAUCGUUCAUCUUUCCUUGGAAACUAAAUACGCAGAAGACGACGAAGACUAAGACUUUCGAGAGUUGCCCAGAUGGACUAUUAAUCAAAAUUCGCGUACAGAUCACGAAACACGAUCUGGGGCAAAGAUUUUAAUACAUAAUUAAACUGCUGUUUUUGCGUGUAAUGUAGGCCAUACGUCGUGAAAAAUCAUACCGUGUGUAACAUGGCAUGUCAUGAAAAGUACGAUGAUUUAUUAAUUCCUUGUAAUUGAACGAACUGAAUAUUAGCUAGGUUUAUGUUCAAGACUUCAUCUGCACAAUUUUGUAAUGACGUUUGUAGGAAAGAAUAUAAUGCCAUCAUAGGACGGUGUGAAUUUGGGCUUUAAUUUAAGCGUUGUGAUUGUUCAAGCAGUAAUAUUAAGACAGACAAAUUUAGUAGAACAUUGAUAGAAAUAGUGGUAAAUAGUUAUCAAUUUACUAACUUAAUUAAAAACUAAAAUAAAUAAAUGCCGGUUUAUUAUUGUUUUUAUACGCGCUCUGUCAAUGUUCUAUUUUAACAUUUUUCUUGUCAAUGCCUACAAAAAAAGUAGGGGAAAAAAAGAAUGCUUUGAUGUUGCAAUUCCAAUGUAACUCUUAAUAUCAGAAGCUGGAUCAUUUUUAAAAGUCAUUUUUCUGACUUGACUCGACUUCAUGGUUUUCCAAUUUAUAAAUUGAUGAUAACUACAAUUAUUAUUAUUUACGGAUUACAAUCAAAGUCAUUGAUUUAUAAAAUAAAAUAUCUACUAGACCAGUGAUCACUUUUGUUAUAUCACAACCAAAAGUUACAACUUAUAUUAAGGUCCUCUUUGAGAUUAAUUGAAGUUGGACAGUUAUAACUUAAAAUCUGCAGCACUGAAGUAUUUGGUAAAUAUUAACUACUAUAACUUGAAAGUUGUCUUAAAAUUUUUGUCAAAAUUAUUAUUAAAAAUUUAUACUUACUACAUACUAUUAACUUUUGUUUCAUAGUUACAAUCUUUUUUGUACAGCAACUGAACCUUUUAAGUUACAAUACUUCAAUUUCAAAUAAGAUCUAAUAUAUGUAUCUCUACUAAUAUUAAUUUAAAUGUCGAUUUAUAAGGAAUAUCUAUCCUAUACAUAUAUGAGAAAGUUGAUUUACUCCCACCCAAUUAUGGGAGGAGAGUAGGAGCUGUUAUUGUACUUUUUUUGUAAAUUUUUUUUAAAAAAUUUGCUUUUAAAGUGUUAUGGACCGAUAUGAAUGGGCUCAAACCCUAAACCUUUUGUUCUAUCACAAAAGAUAUUAAUACUGAACAACUUGCAAGUGAGAGUGUUUAUCCUACUUUCUUUCACUUGUUAACCCUAUAAAUAGCCAUCGAAACUUCUCAAAUCUUCAUCAGUUACCAACGAUACAUUUCCCUUUCUAGUAGAAAGAAUUCCAAACCAAAUGGCAUUCAGUAAGAAUAUCUUGUCACUAGUGCUUUUCUGUCUCAUGGUGUUAACAUAUGUGAGUAGAAAUGAUGAGAGCACCAUUAGCUGUAUAAACAACAGAGCAGGUGAUUCCAGCUCAAGAGCUGACGUGUCAACGAUCGUUAUACAUGCUGGCUUUCUUUGUAACAAACUUAUUUCAGUUGUAAAACAGAUUCCAGUAGCUUCAUUAAUCAGUUAGAUAGAUUCCUUUAAACUACUAUAUAAACCAACUCUUGUAAUCAUUUUUGAUAACGUUGAUUGAAUAUAAACUCACUGAUUCAAGUAUCUUCUCUGUUAUUUUCUUUAUCUUUCUAUCAUUUUCUUAUCUACCAAACACAUUAACAACAUUUCAAACAUGGUAUCAGAGCCAAUGGCUAACUCAAAUCAAAGUUCACAUUCCUAUAACUUUGUUACUCCGAUCAAAAUGGAUCACAACAACUUCAUGGUGUGGAGGAAUCAAGUUCUGGCUUCAAUCAAAGGAAAUGGUCUAGAAGGUUUCAUCAAUGGAACUAAUCCGUGUCCUGACCAGUAUCUCGAUCAAAUCAGUGAAGCGUCAAGCUCAACUUAAGGUGAUUCUAGAUCUAGAACUGAAAAUCAUGCUUUUGCUAUGUGGAUUAGAACUGAUCAGCUACUUUUAAGCUGGAUGUUCUCAUCUAUUCAAGAAAAUCUACUUACCUCAGUAAUUCAAUGUGUUUCUUCUCAAGAACUUUGGGAAACUCUCACACGCAUGUUUAUCUCUCAAACCCAGGCAAGAAUUGUGCCACUAAAAAUGCAAUUACAAACCUCUAAGAAAGGAUCUAUGUCAAUGAAUGCUUAUUUUUCCAAGAUGAAACGUCUUGCUGAUAGUUUAGCUAUUGCUAGAAAGCCUGUUGAACACAAUGAUCUGAUUUCAUAUAUUCUAACUGGCUUAGAUUCUCAGGAUUAUGAGUCACUUGUUACUAUUUUGCUUGCUAGAAGUGAUACACUGAGUCUAGAUGAAUUGUACUCACUGCUAUUGAGUCAUGAAAUGAGGAUUGAGCAAAAGAAAGGGAAGAUCAGUGCUGAUGUGAUUCAUAAUCUCUCUGCUAACAUUGCACAAAAGAAUCAAAAUCUUCCAAGAGGCGGAUCUGGUAAUUCUGGUUUUCCGAGAUGAAAUGGAGGUUUUGGUAAUUUUAAUCAAGGAUGAAAUAAUGUCAAUCAUGAGUCAAAUAUAAUGUGCCAAAUUUGUUUCAUUCCAGGUCAUGGUGCUGUAAAAUGCAGAAAUAGAUUCAAUCCUGCAUUUGUACCUCAGAGGAAUUUCGGCAUAGGUAACUUCAGACCUGGAUUUGGAAAUUAUGGCAGAGGCUUCAUUCCAAAUAAUUUUGCUUCAAGACCUUUUAAUGGUUUUGGAAGAAAUAAUAAUGGUCAAUAUGUUGGAUCACCAAGGGGUUAUGGUUUUGAAAGUGGCUUUCAAGGUCACGUUACUUAUCAAAAUUCUGAUGUUGCUGGUGCAAACUCUCAAUCCUCCUUCUAUAACUCUCACAACUCUGGUUCUGAUCAUCCAGCAGCCUUUAAUUGCUUCAAUGGAACAACUAAUGCUUCUCAGUUCCAGUCAUCAACAAACUUUCAUACUGCUCCUUCCCCUGAGACUGUGGAAGAUCCGUCCUGGUACAUAGAUAGUGGAGCCUCUACUCACAUCACAGUUGACUCAGGUAAACUCUUCAAUAUGCAACCUUAUUAUGGCACAGAAUCACUUCUUGUUGGAAAUGGAAAUGCAUUAGAAAUUAAACAUAUUGGAUCUACAGUGUUUGAUACACUGACAACUGAACCUUUACUUCUAAAUAAUAUCUUGCAUGUUCCAAAUAUCACCAAGAAUUUAUUAAGUGUUUCUCAACUUUUAGCUGACAACAAUGUUAUUGUUGAAUUUGUUGGAACCUUUUGUUUCAUAAAGGCCAGGAAAACAGAAACUCUGUUACUUAAGGGAGUAGCUACUGGAGGCUAGUAUCAGAUACAAAAUUUGUCAAGUGAAGAUUCUCAAGUUUCUUGGUGUCAUGGUCAAAUAAAUAAACCUGUAUUAAUGUUUGCUACUCUCUCUAGUUCAGUCAAUUCUAGUCCCCUUCCUUUUAAGUCAUGUAAUCCAACAGCUUUCACAAUGUCUGUAUCAUCAGUUGAUGUUGAUUUACUUCACAAGAGACUUGGACAUCCAGCCUCACACACACUUCAAACUGUUAUUAAGACUUGUAAUUUGUUUGCUGGAAUUAAUAAAACUCCAAAAAUUACCUUCUGUGAUGCCUGUCAGUUUGGCAAGAAUCAUCUUAAACAUUUUGAUUCUGUCAUUACCAAAACAACAGCACCUUUGCAGUUAUUAUAUGCAGAUCUUUGGGGUCCUUCACACAUCACUUCUACUCAAGGCUACAACUAUUACUUGUCAAUAUUAAAUGAUUACGGUAGGUUCACUUGGAUUUUUCCUUUAAAAGCCAAGUCUGAUUCAUUACAAGUUUUCAUUGAUUUCAAAACCUUCAUUGAGAAACAUCUUGAGAAGAGAAUUAAGACUGUCCAAACAGACUGGGGAGGGGAAUUCAGAUAAUUUUCUUCAUUAUUAACAGCCUCUGGUAUACAUUUCAAACACCCUUGUCCUCACAUUCACCAUCAAAAUAGGAAAAUAGAGAGGAAACAUAGGCACAUUGUUGACAUUGGUCUCACCUUACUAGCUCAAUCAAAUUUGCCACUCACUUUUUGGUGGAAUGCCUUUCACACUACUGUAUUUCUCAUAAACAAAUUACCAACUCCAGUUUUGAAUAAUGUCUCACCCUAUUUCAAACUCUUUCAUCAAACUCCAGAUUACUCAUUUCUAAGAGUUUUUGGCUGUGCUUGUUACCCUUAUCUUAGACCCUAUUAAAAACAUAAGCUUGAGUUCAGGACUGGUAGAUGCAUCUUCAUAGGAUACAGUCCAAAUCAUAAGGGCUAUCAAUGUUUACACUCUUCAGGAAGGGUAUAUAUAUCCAAUCAUGUAGUGUUUAAUGAAAAUUCUUUCCCAUACCAGCCAGGUGUUGACUUUCUUCUGUUUGAAUGUCUUGUUUAAGUACAAACAAUACAGAGUCCACUCCCUCUAUACAAGUUCUCUCAGCACCUCCCUUAACAACAGAGGUUCCUGCUUUAUCUCCACAUUUAUCACAACAAGUUUCUAGUAAUUCCAAUUCACCCUUAUCUCAACAUUCUUUACCUUCCCCUACAUCAAAUCAAAGUUCACCAAAUUCAUCCCACUCAAACAUUCCAGUACCUUUUGAUCCUGCCCAUCAGUUACCCAAUUUUCAGCCACCUGGUCAUCACAUGAUUACUAGGUCCAAAGCUAGAAUUUUUAAACCAAAAGCAUACAUCACUGCACUUUUAGCUCAACCAUCUGAACCUAACUCAGUAGCUCAAGCACUGCAAGAUCCAAAAUGGUUUAAUGAUAUGCAGGAAGAGUUUAAAGCCCUUUAGGCCAAUCAAACUUGGGAUUUAGUUAUUCCUACAGCUUCUGUCAAAGUAGUAGGAAACAAAUGGAUUUUCAGAAUUAAACACAAUUCAGAUGGAUCAAUCUCAAGGUAUAAGGCAAGACUUGUUGCAAAAGGGUUUAAUCAAACAUAUGGAAUUGAUUACAGUGAAACUUUCAGCCCAGUAGUUAAGGUUUCAACAGUGAGAGUGAUAUUAAGUUUAGUAGUGAUGAACAACUGGAUGAUAAGGCAAGUUGAUGUUAAUAAUGCCUUUCUCAAUGGCAUUCUUGUUGAAGAUGUAUACAUGGCCCAAUCAGAAGGUUUUGUGGAUCCAGCAAAGCCUCAUCAUGUAUGCAAAUUGAAAAAGGCUCUGUAUGGUCUCAAGCAAGCUCCAAGGGCAUGGUUUGACAGGUUCAAAAGUGCUAUGACAUCUCAGUGGCAUUUUGAUCAUUCAAAGUCAGAUUCCUCACUAUUUUACAGAUGGGAUACAUGUGAUAUUCUACUGGUCUUAGUCUAUGUAGAUGACAUUAUCAUUACAGGUUCUAAUUCCAAUAGUGUGUUGAAAGUGAUCUCUAAUAUGCAAGCUACUUUUGCUCUUAAAGAUUUAGGAGAGCUUAGCUAUUUUCUUGGCAUAGAGGUCACUAGAAAUAAGACAGGCCUUCAAUUAUCUCAAAGCAAAUACAUAGUUGAUUUGCUGAACAAGCAUGAAAUGGUUACUUGCAGUCCAGUACCAACUCCCAUGAUCACAUCUCAUUCACUUGUUAAAAACUCAGGAGCUAUUAUUUCAAAUGCUUCUCAGUACGGGAGUGUUGUGAGGGCUUUACAGUAUGUGACUUUAACCAGGUCAGAAUUAGCUUUUUCAGUUAAUAAAUUGAGUCAAUUCCUCUCAGCUCCAACAGAAGAACAUUAGCAAGCAUGUAAGAGGAUACUUAGAUAUUUGAAAGGAACAAUUCACUAUGGUUUACAACUUCAUUCAACUGGAAGUCAGCAUAUGCAAAUAAAUUGUUUCAGCGACUCUGAUUGGGCUUGUGACAGAGAUGAUCGAAAAUCAGUAGCUGGGUAUGCUGUGUUCCUUGGACCUAACCUUGUUUCAUGGUCUUCAAAAAAGCAACAUGUUGUUUCCAGGUCAAGUACAGAGUCCAAAUACAUAGCCUUAGCUCUGGCAAUAACUGAAGUUAUGUGGAUAAAAAGGGUUACUUGCUGAGCUGAAGAUCAAAAUUGAUCACACACCUAUUAUGUGGUGUGACAAUCAGGGAGCAAUAUCUUUGGCUAUGAAUCCAGUUUAUCAUGCCAAGACAAAACACAUUGAGCUAGAUAUACACUUCAUUCGAGAAAAGGUACAAGCUAAGCAAAUUGAAGUUAACUAUGUGCCUAGUGAAGAUCAGGCAGCAGACAUAUUCACAAAAGCUUUAGCCUACUGACAAUUCAAUUAUCUUAUAAGCAAGCUGAACAUAUUUCCUACACAGUUCAGGUUGAGGGGGGAUGUUAGCAUAUGUGAGUAGAAAUGAUGAGAGCACCACUAGCUGUAUAAACAACAGAGCAGGUGAUUCCAGCUCAAGAGCUGAUGUGUCAACGAUCGUUAUACAUGCUGGCUUUCUUUGUAACAAACUUAUUUCAGUUGUAAAACAGAUUCCAGUAGCUUCAUUAAUCAGUUAGAUAGAUUCCUUUAAGCUACUAUAUAAACCAACUCUUUUAAUCAUUUUUGAUAACGUUAAUUGAAUAUAAACUCAUUGAUUCAAGUAUCUUCUCUGUUAUUUUCUUUCUCUUUCUAUCAUUUUCUUAUCUGCCAAACACAUUAACAACAUUUCAAACACAUGGGGUUAGCCCUAGCUCUGCCUUCCCGUGCACAAGACUUACCACAAGACUAUGUCAAUGCUCACAACGCAGCUAGAGCACAGGUUGGCGUUAACCCUGUGAAAUGCGACGAGAGCAUAGCUGCCUUUGCAAGAAGCUAUGCUAGUCAACAAAUUGCCAGCUGCAAUCUUGUCCAUUAAGAGACAGGCGUUACGGCGAGAACCUUGCCGGGAGCUCGGGUAACCUUUCAGGCUCAGAUGCUGUCGGAUUGUGGGUGAGUGAAAAGGCUGACUACGAUUACAAUUCUAAUAGUUGCAACGCAGGCAAGGUGUGUGGGCACUAUACGCAUGUGGUUUGGAGGAACUCUGUUCGCAUUGGGUGUGCAAAAGUGAGAUGCAACAAUGGAGGAACUUUCGUUGGCUGCAACUAUGCUUCCCCAGGCGACGUCGUGGGGCAGAAGCCUUACUAAUUAAUUUAAUUAGUAUACUUUUCAGCUGGAGAAAGGCAUUUAAAUAAGAGUUUAUUUUGAUGAAUAAAGCUUUUUCUGUUGUCUGUAUUGGUGGAUAAAAAAUAAUUACAAUUAUAUUAUGUAUAACUGUAUAAGUCUGGAAUUAUGCUUCGCAUAAUGCUAUUUUUGCUAGGGAUUCAUGUACCACGACCACUUUGCGAACUAAGAACUGACGACUCUAUGUGUGUGUUUCUUCUAUGAAUAUAGGCUUCAUUAAUUUGUUAUCUCACUAGUUCUAUUCUACGGCUGUUGCUUGUUGAACAAAUUAGUCUGGCAAAAGUUAAAUUGUAAUUACGCUUAAAAUUUAUUUUAAUUAUUUCUCUAAUCACAUGAAAGUGUCUGGCAAAAGUUAGAUUGUAAUUAUGCUUAAAAUUUAUGUUAAUUAAUUCUCUAAUCACAUAAAAGUAUCAUCCCGGUAUUUGUCUGAUGAGUUACCAUAUACGAGUCCAAAAUAAGUUCUAAGGUGCAAAAUUAAUAUCUAUCGUGACUGGUAAUUAAGAUUUAUUGUUUUUGUUUAUAUUAAGUAAGACUAAUCACAUUCAUAAUUUUGUUAAAAGAAGAGAUAUGUUUAAGUUUAAAUUUUGGAUGAGGAAUGUUUUCUGAUCUAAACUUUUAUAUGAGUAAAUACACUCAUAUGAUCGAUAGUUAACAAAUAAGAAUAUAAUAAUUACAUAAAUCAUGAUUAUACAUGAAUAAAAAUGUAUGUGUCAAAAAAAAUCUUCAAAGAUUUUAAAUUUGAGGAUUUUGCCAAAAUCCACAUUCGAUGAUGUUCUCUUCUUUGGCAUCUUUGCAGCUUUAUUUAUAUGGUCAAUGUUCAUUGUUUCGGCAUCUUUAUUUUUUCUUAUUAUUAGUUUUUAUUCUGGUUAUCUCCUUGGCAUCUCUAAAAUAUGGCUAUAUCUGCACUCUAUUUAAUUAGCUCAAAACAAUCAAUAUGUAGGUUUAGAUUGAUCUCUCCAACUUCAUGGAACAUGAUUUUUAUUUAAUGGUGAAUGACACUUAUAUCUCUCAUAAAAAACGGUUUUUAGCACUUAGCUAGAUCUCUUAUAAAUUUUUGAUAGAUCAAUUUAUUUUUUAUGUUAUUAAAACAUUUAAAAGAAAAAAAUAAAUUGUUAAUAGGUACAUGCUCGUCACCUUAAUUUUACCUCAAUAUGGAUUAAUAUAUUAGCCAACAAAAAGAUCAUAUAUUGAAUUUAAUAAAGAUAAGUAGACGGACAAUAGUGCAUAAUCAAGCAAAGACUAACGACACAUGCAAGUGCCUUGACCAAAGACAUUAUUACAAUAGCAGAUUUAAUGUCAUGAAUUUUGAGAAUGACAUUGCGACAUAUACUUAAUUUAUUGUUUAAACUCUUAAUUUGCAGAAACGGAGUAGAUCUUAAUUAACUUAAUCAGCUAAGUAAGGUUUCUGCCCAAUAUAAUUGCCCGGAGGAUCAUAGCUGCAAGUGACAAACCACCAGCCAUUGCUACAUUGAACCCUAGCACAUCCAACACGAAUCGAAUUGCGCCAAACCACCUGAGUAUAGUGCCCACACACCUUGCCUGCAGC